AAGUACUGCCGGAGAUAAAGCGGGAGAAGGAACGGGCAAAAAGAUGUCAGAUUACACAGAAUAAAAUGAACUACAAGCUGCUUACAAUGUACGACACAUCUAUCUCGAAUGUCAACGCUAAUCUCCUAAACUCUUUCCGUUUUUCUCAUUGAGGUCUGAAACUCGCCCUCAUGAAGCUGGAUUACGGUAGUAAUGGCAAAUCAAUAGAGU
RNAcentral lists this ribosomal RNA (210 nucleotides) under Halobacterium sp. AGS-7. RNAcentral describes it as "partial 16S ribosomal RNA". It matches the Rfam family "Archaeal small subunit ribosomal RNA", at positions 1100 to 1314 of the family's 1478-position model. Lineage: Archaea; Methanobacteriati; Methanobacteriota; Halobacteria; Halobacteriales; Halobacteriaceae. The record is from RNAcentral.